UUUUAUUUUUUUAUUUUUUUAUUUUUUUAAAUCAGCUCAAGGUCCAAAGAGAAAUGAGGUGUCCGGUAUGGAAGUGCAUCUCAGUCAACAGCCAGCUCCUUUUGCCUAGGCUGGAAAUGGUUUUAACAGGCGGUAAAAUUUCAUCUUGUGGUGUCAAAUUGGGGUCAGUUUGGGGUUAGCGCUCUCAGUGUCCGAGCAGGAGCUGUCCAGCUGUGUGGGGAUUCAUUAAGGGCAAAAGAUCCGUUUCAAGAAAAACAAUACAAAGACAAUCAGAGGGCUAAAGAUCCUCUUCAAAUCGCAUUUUACAAGUGCACCAGAACAAAUAUGGACUCUGAAACCUAUUCCCUUCAAACUCCCAAAUCGGCUUCUUAGCCCUUGGAGGGAGGGAGAGAGAAAAUCCUCUAAAACUUAAGAAGAGUCUGUUUUCAAUCAGCCUUUCCGAAGUGUGGCAUCUUAGUCCUUUGCUGGCUUUGAGAUUUGCCUCUCUCGCUCCCUCCUUCUCUUUUUCCACAGCCUUGCAAAAGCGGAUGGCACAACAGGUAAUAUUUCAGAUUUUAGGAAUAUAUGCCGCCGGGGACCUUGGACCGCUGUUUGGUACGCGCGUCUGUGCCUAAAGCAAGAUUUGAUGCAAAUAGAAAGUUUUGUUGCGGUUUUUUUUUUUUUUUGUUUGUUUGUUGGUUUUUGUUUUUUUUUUGGGGGGGGGUAGGGAAGGAGAGUUGGGGAUGUGGAACAAGCCACUCUUGCAGGAAACCCUGUUGGCCCCCUUUGGAAAUUUUCUGCACUCCUUGUAAGUGAUGCUCCGGUCUGACGGGUAAUUUAGGCUAGAUUUACUUUACGGUUCCUAGCAUUUGUGGAAAGCACCUAUUGCUAAUCUGGUUUAUUAAAUUCGCGUGGUUUAAAUCCUCUUAGCGCCCCUACAUCUGUUAGAACAAUUGACGCCUUGCUACAGGGACAAAUAACUUGAACCUUAAUCUUGUUUGUAACUUUAUUCAAUGUUUGUUUGUUUGUGCGCUGAGUUCAAGUAUUUCGGAGGGAUGCCAUUGUGUUCGCAAAUACAGGGGCUACACUUCCAGGCAAAGCUCCCCGUGGAAGGGAUAAGGAUAUCGCGGAACGGGACGACAAAUUGUGCAUAUGCGUUUCAUCGUGAACUAUCGUUCUAGGAAACGUGUCAUUUACUGAAGAAAGCAAUCUGCCUGUUAAAAUGUGGCUGCAGGAUUACAUCACCGGGACCCCGUAGUAAAAUCCACGGGGAUUUUCCUUUUUGUUUUGCUCGCAGGGCGAAGUGCGGGGUGUAAACAGUACCUUUUCCUUUUUAUAAUUGGGAUUAUGCCACGGUUUAAACUCCUACCCCCAAAAUCGCUCUUUACCACACUUUCCUUUGCCUUUACGCUUAGUUCUCACAACUUGAGUCACUUUUUAUGCGUUUUAGCCACUUUAAGUCCUCGACGGCGGGACUUCAGAGGUGCCAUCUCGGGUGCCCCUGGGCAAUGCCGCACAGUCCCGGUUCUGCAGGUCGCUGGGUUCAGUCUGCGCCCUUUCGGUCCGCUAAGCCCUCCCCCCAGCCACCGCCGAUGGUGUACGUCGCUUUUCACCCACCUACAAUUUUUCUAAAACCUUUCAAUUCAGUCCGUAAAGUCAGUGAUAGCCCAUCACGGUGAACUUAUCUUGACCUCGACUGCUGUGUGACUGAGAUCUUUGGGAGCUGGGUUAGGAGGAGAUUCAUGGAUUUACCUGCGAACUUCCUUUUUAACUCUCUUUCUUCCACCCCUCCCUCUUCUUUUAAAGAAAAAAGAACCCCCCUCAACUCCCCCACGAAGCCGGAGCGAUGCGCGGUCCGCCUGCCCCUGUUCCGCCGUGUCUCCGCUCGGCGCGGGGCUCCGACCGCCGCUGCCGGGUUCCCCGCGGGAUGCGGCGGUGCCACCGGCAGCCCUCUAGCGCUACCUGGCGGGGCUCCAGCACCAUCCCGCUGCCUCGCAAGGCCCCGGUCCCCGCGCAGCUCCAGGGGCGCGGAGCGGUGCGGAGCACUGUGGACCGCUUCGAGCCUCCGCCUCCCGCGCGGCUCCGAGCGCUUGGUUUGGCGUUGCCACCUCCCCGCGUUCCAUCGAGCAGGCGGGCUGCGGGCCGCGGCGGGAAGGGGAACGGGGGGACGCCUUCGCCUUGGUGCGCGUGAAGCGCUGAUGUCAGACCAGAGCGCGGCUUUUUUUAUUAUGUCUUAGGCUGGGAGGUUUGUAGAAGUGAAGCCCAUAAACAGCCAACGCGCCUGUUUCCAUCAUAAACCAGGGAGAGUAAAAUACCUGCCAGGGCUCCCCGCUAACACAGUGCAGCUGCUUCCACCGAGGCAGCUAAAAACCUAGUUUGCCUUUGUUGGAAGAAGCCCGAAGCAUUAACAAAAUCCAUCUUUCCAAUAUGACAUCCUAACAAAAAGGACAGUUAGGGCAAACUAAAUCGCUUUAGUGGGGUAUCAGAGCAUCCGCGAAGGCUCCAAACUCCUCUCAGAGCUCUGCUCUCGCGCACUUAAAAUAUUACCUUUUGUUCUCCAGCUGCCUAUAAAACUCCAGAAGAGGAGCGCUCUCCUUUUUACACUGGAGUUCUCGGUCCGGAGAGAACAAUAUCCUCCUACCUCCUCUGAAAUGAUAAGGAGAACCUCACAACACACAGGCGAGCACUCCAAGCACGAAUCUCUUUCUUUUUUUUUUUUUUCCCCAUUUUUUCCCCCCAAGAACUGCUCGGCCCAUUGUUUGAAGUGGGAUUCAGCGCGCAGCCCAAAGGGAAAAAGGAAAAAAACCGAAAGAAAUCUUAGGAGCCCGGUUUGAUAUUGCACAGAGAAAGAUCUGACAAAAUAGUAUAGCGCGUCUCCUAGAAGGACGUGAUGGGAGCCGGCGGUGUGUUCCCGAAGGAAAGAUGGGUUUGUUUUUUGGGUUUUUUUUUCCCCACCCUUAAAGAUUGUGAUCGCCUUUGUACGUCUUUCUUUUGAUCCCACAAAGAGAAUGCCAUAUACAUAUAUGUGUUUGCUCUCCGUACAAGAAAUGCAAAGGACCGCACAAUGGAAUAUGCGGCCGGUUAGUCCUCAUAAUGCUUAGUUUUGCUGUAAUUAAUUGAAAACAGUUAUUAGGUCGUCAUUGGCAAUAGCGUAAAUAAUUGCAGCAGAUUUUUACUUAAAAUUGACCGGCCACAGAGUGAUAGAUCGAUUCGAGGUAUAAAAAUGAUGUAUCAAAACAUCAAUGUCGAUUAUUUGAAAUAUUGUAGUCGAAUCUUUUUAUUGCUUUAUCGGUUAAGUGUCUGAAAGUGCUGUGUUCCAACAUAUAUUUAUGUUGUCAAUACUGUCAAAACUGUCAGUUUUAUUACAGUGGAUUUGUAAUACAUUUCGGAUUUGCUCAUUUACAUAAAAUGUCCACCCCAGAUACCCCUCCUUUUCUCCAUCUCUGGAAAUUUAUGUCAGUUUAAUGAAAGGAUUCAGGACUCAUACCUGAAGGGGAAAAAAAAAAAAAAAAAAAAAAAAAAAAAAAAGUAGAGAUAUUGCUCCGUUAAGUCCAAUUUAAACCUCCCUUUGGAAAGCUCGGGCUGUUUCUAACUUGCCAUAAGAGGGAAUCCCCCCCGUCCCUCCCCCCUUUAUUUCCUCAGUAGGAUUUAAACACUUUCCUACCCUCACACCUAGAUGAAACCCUUCGGGAGGAUUGAGGACCUGAGUGGGGAGACAGCCGAGCCCUAGCCCACCUGCGAGUGCGGAACCCUCACAGAAAGCCGCAACACACAAGCGGGGCUUCGUCCCCCUAGAAAGAAGGAGACAAAAGCAGCAAUAAACGUGUGUGUGAUCCUUUCUUAACGGGUUGAAGCCCAAAAGAAAAAGCAAAUUGGAUGCAGUAUUGGGCAUUUGAUGCCCGUCCGUCCCCGCCCCCCACUUUAUCAGGGUCUGAUUAUUCGCUUUAACUGUAAGCGCUGAUUUGUUAUUAGCUGGGUUCAGGCACCUCUCUAAUUUUCUCCGAGAGCCCAUUUGAAGGGUAGAAAAACUGAGGAAUAAAUAAAUGCAUUUACACUCUAAAGUCUCUUCGAUCAAGCAAACAGUGAAAUUAGCAAAGUAACUUUAUUUCCCACCCCUGUCGGGAGGAUGAGGGUAUUUUAAAGGCGUUGGUAAGGUGGACCUGAGGUGUGGGGGUGCCUGUCUUCUUUCUUUUUUUUUCUUUUUUCGUUUGGUUUUUUUUUUCUUUUCCCCAGAGAUACGUGUGUUUAAAGAGAUGCUGAAGACAUUUCUGAGUUCAUGGGGAAGAAGGAGAAGUUGGUUUGGGAAAUGGCAGCACACCGGGCAGGAGAUGGUUUCCUCAGUGUGUGGCAAGUGUUUCUUCAAGAAAUUCAUCAGCCCUUCUACAAUUACUUCGAGCUCCGAGGGAAGAGAGCUGCCAUCACUUUCUCACAUCCCAAGGUGUUGCACGGAGGAGAGAAGAAAAGGCUGGAGCAUUUAAUUAUCGGGGGGGGGGGGGGGGGACAAGGGGGAAGUUGGGGGUUAGCGGAGGCUGCGGGAAGCGGUCCCGAGCUGAUACCUGGAAAAGAAAAACCUGCAAGGGUGUAUCUGGGAGACCUGUGCCACUGAGAGAUGGGGGAAAGUACCCCAUCUCGUGCAGUAAUUAGUCUGAACAAUAAACAUAAUUGGAAUAAAA
RNAcentral lists this long non-coding RNA (4652 nucleotides) under Strigops habroptila (Kakapo). Its description in RNAcentral is "lncRNA (ENSSHBG00005015390.1)". Lineage: Eukaryota; Metazoa; Chordata; Aves; Psittaciformes; Psittacidae. The record is from RNAcentral.